UACGUAGGUGACCAGCGUUGUCCGGAUUUACUGGGCGUAAAGAGCGCGCAGGCGGUCGUUCAAGUCGAGUGUGAAAGCCCCCGGCUCAACUGGGGAGGGUCAUUCGAUACUGAUCGACUGGAAGGCAGGAGAGGGAAGCGGAAUUCCCGGUGUAGUGGUGAAAUGCGCAGAUAUCAGGAGGAACACCGGUGGCGAAGGCGGGUCUCUGGGCCGAUACUGACGCUGAGGAGCGAAAGCGUGGGGAGCAAACAGG
This 253-nucleotide ribosomal RNA is filed under the name uncultured bacterium. Its description in RNAcentral is "partial 16S ribosomal RNA". It matches the Rfam family "Bacterial small subunit ribosomal RNA", at positions 524 to 776 of the family's 1533-position model. The record is from RNAcentral.